Molecule: ribosomal RNA, 331 nt
Filed under: Salmonella enterica
Lineage: Bacteria; Pseudomonadati; Pseudomonadota; Gammaproteobacteria; Enterobacterales; Enterobacteriaceae
Description: bacterial SSU rRNA
Rfam family: Bacterial small subunit ribosomal RNA
Source: RNAcentral
UGUAGCGGUGAAAUGCGUAGAGAUCUGGAGGAAUACCGGUGGCGAAGGCGGCCCCCUGGACAAAGACUGACGCUCAGGUGCGAAAGCGUGGGGAGCAAACAGGAUUAGAUACCCUGGUAGUCCACGCCGUAAACGAUGUCUACUUGGAGGUUGUGCCCUUGAGGCGUGGCUUCCGGAGCUAACGCGUUAAGUAGACCGCCUGGGGAGUACGGCCGCAAGGUUAAAACUCAAAUGAAUUGACGGGGGCCCGCACAAGCGGUGGAGCAUGUGGUUUAAUUCGAUGCAACGCGAAGAACCUUACCUGGUCUUGACAUCCACGGAAGUUUUCAGA